CCCUUCUUCUCCUCCGCCUCCUUCUUCCUCUUCCUUUCCUUUCGUUGCCUCUCUCUCUCUCUCUCAGCGCGGAAGCCGACUCUCGGCCGGCAAACGCGAGCUCAGCCCUUCGGCGCUGACAGCCGCCGCCUCAACUGUCAGCCCCCACCAACCCCUCGCUGACCGCCCAGAACCACCAUAUUGAAUCCGGAGAACCCAGACAACCGGGUAAACCUCGUCCCGGCAGCCUCCGCGGCUCGUCAUGUGACCUGGGCGUGUGAGGGAAGAGGCGAGGCUUCAGCCGCCCAGCGAGCGAGGAAGAGGCGGCGGUGGUGGGGACGGGGGAAACCAACCAAAUAAACGCGAAAGCGGGAAGACGCCAAGCAAAUAAAUAAGGGUUGCCCAAGGAUAGCUGCUCUGUACGCCGUAUGCCUUUAAGCGGGAGGGCGUGUCAGGCCAAGUCAUUGGGUAGCACCGUCAGGCCCCUGAGGCGAGGCGAAAAGGGGAAGUAGCUGCUCUUCCGCCAUUAGUGUUACUGAGACGCCAACGCCGUUAAGCUCCUCCUUCCCGCAGCCUCUACCUCAGCCUGAGGCGAAGAAGGGAAGGAAGGGAAACUGAGUUGUUCUGGUUCGCAUUUGUCCCGUCNNNNNNNNNNNUUCAAACCAACCCGAGCGUUACAGGAACGUGACAGGAAAGAAGCAACGGAGCGUUUGCUUUUCCCUUCACUCCUGCUGCCCAGCUUCCCUGUCAUUUCGGGCGAAAAGAGGAAGGUUGUUAAAACUGAAGGCAGACGCUGUCUUGUCGAUCUUCGUAACUUGCCUUGGGAGCCUCCUUUUGGCAGACUGCAUGGCGGGGAUUCUGGACAGAGGACACUUCCUCAAGAGUGUAUGCUUGCUCUUAGAACCACACUAUUUAAUGACUCUGGAUGAAAUUUUGAGGGCAAGAAGUAACAUUUACGGUAUGUGAAAAGUAUAACAUUACAAAAUGGCAGCCAGCUAUGAAUAAUUUUUUGGGAAAUAACAUUGUCUUAUAACCACGUUAUAAAACCAAACGUAUUCAUUAAAGAACACUGAAUGACACAUUAUUUGGUGAAUAGAACAGCCUUCUAUGACACUAUGAUAGCGAGGAAACAGAAACGGAAAAAUCCCAAAUGGCUGCCAAAAUCACUGAAUCUUUAUGCCAUGAAAGUAGGAUAACUUAUCCAUCCUGCAGUGGUGAUUUUUAAUUUAAUUGAAAGCUUUGCAUGUUAUGAAGCUCUCUGGAGUUCUCUUUUGACCUGGGGGGAAUUUUGUGAAUGUUAUAAUGGUGGGGGAGCUUCUAAUAUCUAAUAAUAGCCACCAGCAAAAAUAUUUUAAAAUAAAUGAGAAAACAGCAUUUCA
This 1358-nucleotide long non-coding RNA is filed under the name Pogona vitticeps (central bearded dragon). Its description in RNAcentral is "lncRNA (ENSPVIG00000013976.1)". Lineage: Eukaryota; Metazoa; Chordata; Lepidosauria; Squamata; Agamidae. The record is from RNAcentral.